CGGCCGCGCCUCUCAAACGCCCCGCACCCGCCCCUCUCGGAAGCACGUGCGCCGACGUCAUUUCCUGUUAUUCUCUUCGCUCCCUCCUCCGUCAGUAGUGGGUUUCUUCUGGACCGGUUUUUGGGGCGUGCCCUUUUCCUCUAUGUCAGAUGAGGCCCAGAGAGGUGAAGCUUCUUGUUGAGCUGAGGAGCGACAAGGCCGAUCUCAAGUCCCCGGUCUUCGCAAAGCACGACGUCUUUGGCAAAAGGGAGCUGGAAGGAUGAAAAUUACUUUGGGAGGAUGGAUACCAGCUUUGGUUGAAGGAAUAAGAGCUGAAGAGGAGCUGAAGGAUGAGAAGCCACAGGUGUAGAAAGAAGUCUUCAAUACGGGCUUUGAGAAGUUGUCAGUACUUCAGUUUCAAGUCUCCCAUCCUCUGGCCUUCAGAAUUUCUCUAUUGCUCUUUCAAAGCACCUUCUCCCAGUGGACACCCACACCUGAAGCCACCUCUGAGAAUCAUCUUAGCCCAGAGAUACCCCUCACCACAGACCAGGGCUCCAGAACAAGUGUAUCCUGUGCUGACCCAGAACACCCACUGUGGACUCGUCUGCCCAGACGCCAGAAGAAAAGCCUCAUGCUCAUUUCUCAGCUGUGAAACCUGAGAUCCCGUGAAUUUCCCAGGCCAUCACAGUCAAGCCAAGACCAGCCCCUGGGGCUUCUGCGAAGCCUGGAGCUGCCGGCAGAGGCUCUGGCACCACACGAAUAUGUUCACAUUCCCUCCACUAGGUCCUGCCAAGUGGGAAAGGAGUGGAGCCCAGUCCUAACCCCUGCCCAGCAUGGUGAGGACUCCUGGAGGAAGUGUCCGUGGAGGACUUGUCGGUAAUACCUGGAUACUCCCAAGAAAAUGUCCCACGUGGCAGAAGUGGCAUAGACUCGCCUGCAGCCUUUGCAGAUCGCCCAACAGCAGACUCUCAGAGUGGGCAGACAGCUGGUGCCAGGAAUAGGAAUUCUGCCAGCAGUUCUGUGCAUUUGAUCUGCAGCCUGCCGUGGUUUUCCAAUCCGAAGUGCACCUGAUCCCAUGGUCCGGUCCUCGAGUCAGUACCCAGCGUCUGUGAUGUCCUUUUCUGGCAGGAAGGGCCUGCAAGCCACCUGUUGAUUCAUCAAACUGUGUGCAUGCCCAGAGCUUCCAGCAGAGUGUCCCUGAACAGAUGGCCAGGGCACGGGGGCAGCAAGGCCCAGACGUUUGAGGAUGGACUAUGCUGGUGACACUUGAAAAGUUUCCGCAGUUCAAAGAGAUGAGUGGGGCUGGGAGAGAAGAUGAGCCAGCUCUGACUGGAGGACCUAGUCUGCUGCACACCCCAGAAAGAGCCUGCGUGCAUUAGAUCAGCACCUCUCACACCGAGGUGUGUGCUAAUCUCCGGGGGUCUGGUCUAGUUAAACUAUGGAUUCCGAUUUAGCAGAUCUAGGGUAGGGCCUGAGAUUCUGCAUUUCUUACCAGUUCCCAGGGAUGUGCUGAUACUUCACACCAUACUUUGAGUAACAAAGCCCUAGGACAGUGGUAUCGCAACCCCUCUGGGGUGCUCUAAAAAUAUAGAAAAUUUGGCUCACCCAAACCUACUGAUUCAGAAUCUUCUGGUCCAUUCAUUCAGUAGGUCUCCACUCAGACUGCACAUUGGAAUCACUUGAAGAGUUGGGUUUUUUUGGUUUUCUUUGUCUUUUUCUUUUUGAUGCUAAUUUCCAGGGUAGAGGCUCACUCAUUGAUCUUUCUUUUCUGCCUCUUUCUUUUUCUCUUUUUUUCUUCCUCCCUUCCUCCCUCCCCUCCUUCUCUCUCCCUUUCUCUCUCUCUGCUUUAGUUUGAAAAGCUCCCACAGGUGACUCUGAUGGACAGUCCAGUUUGGUGUCCCAGCAGAGGUUGUGGUUCCCAGCCCUGGCUGAACAACAGAGUCACCUGGCAGUUUUAUAAAAUGUUGGGCCCCUCCUUCGGACCAAUUUAAUCAGAAUUCCUAGGGGUCGGGCCAAGAGAUUAGGAUUUCACAGAGCUCCCCAGAUGAUUAUAAAGUGUAGUGGCUGAUGUAAAAUCAUCUGGGAUUCUCGAUGAAGUACAGAUUAGCACUCUCCACCCUGAACAUUCAGAUUCAAGGCCUGGGCCGAGGUCCAAGAACCUAUCUGUGUAACAAGUGUCGCAGCCGAUCGAUCGGGAAACACUGAGGUAGCAAAAAGGUCCCUGGACUGGAGGCAGAAAGACAAUGCUGGCUGUGUGACUCCUCACAGCUUACUUAGCCUCUCUGAGAUUCGUUUCUUCAUCUGUAAAAUGGAGAUGAUAGCUGCAUGAGCUAGAGAUGGGUCACCAUCCCCCAGAAUCCUGUGUGCCGGUUCCGUAGGAUAGAGUUGUUGGAAAGUGGCUGCCACAGGCCAGGGACUAUAUUUCCCAGCUCCACUUUGCUCUCACGUGGGGCAGCCACAGGACUAAGUUCUGGCCAAUGGACCGUGGGCAGAGUUAGGAGUGAUCACAUGGUCCUCUGCUCGCUCUUCACAAUCUGUGCAUUGGAUAUCAAUGGCCACUGGAUACCAGUGCCCAUUGGUUAUCAGUGCCUGGGUGAUCUUGGAAGCCACAUGGGAAGUUGGAAGAACGCCCUGCUCCUCGCAUGCUGCUAAUUGGACUUUAUGUGAUUAAAGUCCAAUUGCUAAUUGGACUUGACGUGAUUAAAAAAUAAGCUUCUGUGUAAAGCUGCUCGAUUGGGCAGUUUAUCUGUUACAGUAGCUAGUGCUGUAUUAACUAACAUACUCCCUCCAUGAUUGUGGCAAAAAUUAAAUAUUCUAAAGCAGAGGCUGCAGACAGACAAUAGCAGGGUUUAGAUCCCAUCCACGAACUCACAAAUAGGUUUUGUUACACUUGCACUAGUGUUCUAUUUUGUUAAAAAAUUUAUCAACAGAUUUUAAAAUGAGCAAUUUCACAGCAAACAUCCAGAUUCCCACGUUCCUAAAAACCCAGAAUAGCUUAUUGGCUAUACCCAGGAGCAGCUGAAAAGAACAAGUGUUCUAUUCGUUAGUCUCCGCCACACCCUGUCGACUCGUACCUGGUCGACCUCACAUUUACGGCAUUUCUGGCAUUUCUCUGGUCUCCGUAGCUUCCUGAGUCCGCGGGCCCUGAUGUAAUAGAUGUGGAAGUUAGAUUCAUUCACUGUUAGGGCUUUUCACAGUAAUUCCUUCAGGUAACUUCUAACUCAGAAUGAUUCAUAUGCCCAAAACUUAGAAGCAGAAUCCAUCAAGUGAUCCUUACACUCUGAAGGGUGUCAGCCAUGUCCACCCCACCCACGUCUGUGACCAUUUCAGCAUCUUCUGUGUGGAGACAGUGGUGUGAGGAGAAGAGAACUCAGGUGUGUCUGGGGCUCAGAUACCAACCCCCGCUCUGCUGCUUCCUAGCUUCCUGGUUCGAUUUCGAGUAACAUUUUGUGUUUUCUGAGCCUCAGUUUACGCAUCUGUCAGGUGUGGACAUUAGUACCCUUCUCAUGGGAUUUCUGUAAAGGGUCUGGCUAAAGGACAGUCAGGCUAUAUGAAUUCCUUCCCUUUCUCCUAUUGUUCAAGGACCAGGGCCAGCUUGCCCCCAAGAGUAUAAGGUAGAAAUCAAGCAGUAUAUUUUUUCAAAAACAACUCUGAAUUCUUUUUAACAGAUAUAAAUAAUGCACUUCCAUUAUAGGUGCAGAAGUCCACUCAGGCUGCCAUAACAAAAUAUCACAAAUUGGGUGGCUUAAAGAACGGAAAUGUAGUUUCUCACAACUCUAGAAGUGGGAAGUCCAAGAUGAAGAUCUCACCAGAGUUGGUUUCUGGUGAGACUCCUCACUGGCACAUGCCACCUUCUCACUAUGUCCUCACGUGGCCUUUCCUUGGUGCUUACUUGAGGAAAGAUCUUGGUGUCUGAUCCUCUGAUAAAGACACCAUUUUGGGGGGAUUUGGGCCCCAGCCUUAUGACCAAAUUUAACCUUAAUGACCCCCUUAAAGGCCCUGUAUCCAAAUACUGUCACAUUGAGGUUUAGGACUUAAACAUAUGGAUUUUUGUGGGGAUAUAAUUCAGUCCACAACAGUAGGAAAACCAGAAAAUUUAAUUUUAAAAAGUCACUUAUGAUCUCCUUGCUCCAGUCUAACCACAUAAGUACUUUUAUUGACAAUCUGUCUGUAAUUUAUAUGUUUAAAAAAAUUGAACUGUACAUACUUUUCUGGUAACCUGCUUGCUUUUUUUUUUUUACAUUUUAAAGAUUAUAAUAACCUCAGCUAAAGAGGAUUUUUAGAGUAAUAUAUAAUUGUAAUCUGUUUUUAUAUAAUUGUAAUCUGUUUUUAAUUGUAACCUUUUCAUUGUAACCUUUCUCAUUUAGUGGAUAUAAAUUGUUUCAUGGAUUUACUCUUAUUUACCUAAGACCCUAUUGUCAGGACACUUAGAGUUCUAUUUCUAUGGACUUGGGCGUUUGUCAGCUCUUGAUUUUGGGCUAAUAAUAGCUUCAUCCACUUGAGCAUCAGUUUUCUCAUUCGUGUUAUCAGGGUAAUAACAAUGUCACCUCAAUUAAAAGAAUGACUGUAA
Long non-coding RNA from Pteropus alecto (black flying fox), 4549 nucleotides. RefSeq lists it as uncharacterized. NCBI's taxonomy places the organism in Eukaryota, Metazoa, Chordata, Mammalia, Chiroptera, Pteropodidae. The transcript has 4 exons. The record is from RefSeq and is a predicted model, not a curated record.